RNAcentral lists this transfer RNA (82 nucleotides) under Planctomycetaceae bacterium. RNAcentral's name for it is "tRNA-Ser". It matches the Rfam family "tRNA". From Rfam's summary of the family: Transfer RNA (tRNA) molecules are approximately 80 nucleotides in length. Their secondary structure includes four short double-helical elements and three loops (D, anti-codon, and T loops). The record is from RNAcentral. Lineage: Bacteria; Pseudomonadati; Planctomycetota; Planctomycetia; Planctomycetales; Planctomycetaceae. RNAcentral also lists the same sequence under 1 other name.
GGAGGGUACCCGAAUGGUUAGGAGACUGAUUCGAAAUCAGUUGCCGCGCAAGCGGUUGAGGGUUCGAAUCCCUUGCCCUCCG